UUUUAUCUGUGAUGGCGCAUUAUUCUAGUCAAUUACAUUUAUUAUGAAGACGGGAUUAAACAACCGUACAUUAGCACAUCUGUGAAGCUUUUGGUGCUUGCUUCUUACGCCCAGUUUGGGGUGAGUGCUGGAAGAUUAGAGUGUUGGGAGAACGUAAUGGCAUACGAUUCCGACCCACCACUUGUGGAGACCUAUUAUUGUGUCUGGCCUAUACGAACAAUCUGACGGACUGGGUACGAAAUAGGAUUAAACCUAUUUGUGGCGAAAGUUAUGAAUAGUGUAGCUUGCCUUGAGUGGGUAAUGGGGAUUAGUGAUCAGCUUUUAUUACCUUAGCUAAGUAAUUUAGGUAUUGCACUAUGAAACAUUAUUUGCAAAAAAGACUAAUAAUAAAUGAUUGGUGAGGAAAGCUCCUAGAGUGUCGUUAGUAUGGGAUUACGGUACGUACUAAGUGGUAAUCAAGUCAUAUAUUUGGAAACGAUAUAUCAUUAUCUUUAAAGGGGAACCGCAAACUGGUAACGGGAUGUAGAUAAUGGGGAAAUCCAACUUGACCUAUGACGUAAAGUUAAUCAUAUUAAUAGCCAUAAAG
RNAcentral lists this small RNA (586 nucleotides) under bovine gut metagenome. The record is from RNAcentral.